Molecule: transfer RNA, 57 nt
Filed under: Thalassospira sp.
Lineage: Bacteria; Pseudomonadati; Pseudomonadota; Alphaproteobacteria; Rhodospirillales; Thalassospiraceae
Description: tRNA-Met
Rfam family: tRNA
About the family: Transfer RNA (tRNA) molecules are approximately 80 nucleotides in length. Their secondary structure includes four short double-helical elements and three loops (D, anti-codon, and T loops).
Source: RNAcentral
GGCGGAGUAGCUCAGCUGGUUAGAGCAGCGGAAUCAUAAUCCGCGUGUCGGGGGUUC